This 678-nucleotide long non-coding RNA is filed under the name Rattus norvegicus (Norway rat). RNAcentral's name for it is "long non-coding RNA NONRATT021277". Lineage: Eukaryota; Metazoa; Chordata; Mammalia; Rodentia; Muridae. The record is from RNAcentral.
GCGGGGCUGAGCCACGGAGGGGAUGGAGCUGCCACCAGCCUCGCCUCUCUUCCCCACAGCCCGGGUAUCGCCUCCCCUUGCCCGGCCGCGCCACUCCUUAGGCCGUGCAGGGUGAUCGCCGGCGCGAGCGCGGGCGCGGGUGGGCAACACCUCACCCUGGACUGGAGACCAGGGCUCGCCAGGGCAACCUCACGGGGACUCCUCGCGUCCCAGGUGACCUGCACGUCUCCCGAGCGCUGGAAGACCCCGAUCCGAACGAAGCUGCGUGCCCUCCUCCCCGGUUCCCGGGGCGGGGAAUCGUUGUGGGGCUCGGCCGCUGGGCCCCGGGCUCCCGGGUAGCCCAUGGCGGGUAGCGACCUGGCUAGUGAGGGGUCAUCGCCGAGGGGCGGCGCGACCCGGAGAACCGGGGCCACCGGCGGGCUGCGGAGCCAGACGGCCGCCAGCUGCCCGGAGCCGCUGUCCGCUGCUGAAGCUCCGGCCGAGCGUGGCGCGCUGCCCGCCUGGAUGCGCCUCUACUUCUAUGGGAUGCACGGCAUCACCCUGGACGUGCUGGUGUCCUCUGCCAGGCGCUUCGCCCGCAGCCUUGAUCUGCGGAUGCUGGGCUUCUCUUCGCCCUACCGCUGCCUCCUGCACUCGCUCACCCACUUCGCCCUGGAGCAGCUCUACCUGCAGCGGCCG